UAUAAAACAAGAUCAAUAAGUUUGAUUUAAAAUUUUAAUGUCAUAUCAUCAUAUUUUGUAUGAUUUUUAUUUUCAGUCGUUGAUUUUGAGCCAUUUCGAUCACUAGGCAAAUGAUAUCGAAAAAUCGCAAAAUUUAUUUUCUAGAUACUUCAAAUACUCUAGAUCAAGUCUAAUGGAGCCGAUCGUCGAUUCGAAAGUCCGAACAUCGAAAACAACUUGGAAGCACGGAGCGCUCCGUGGUACCAGAAGCAUACCAGAU
This 259-nucleotide long non-coding RNA is filed under the name Ananas comosus (pineapple). RNAcentral's name for it is "long non-coding RNA (ACOM_LNC014812)". Lineage: Eukaryota; Viridiplantae; Streptophyta; Magnoliopsida; Poales; Bromeliaceae. The record is from RNAcentral.